AAUGAACGCUGGCGGCGCGCCUAAUACAUGCAAGCCGAGCGAGAAGACGUAGCAAUACGUUUGUAAAGCGGCGAACGGGUGAGGAAUACAUGGGUAACCUACCCUCGAGUGGGGGAUAACUAGCCGAAAGGUUAGCUAAUACCGCGUACGCUUCUUGGACUUCGGUUCAGGGAGGAAAGCGAUGCCGAGGGUAUCGCGCUCUUGGAUGGGCUCAUGUCCUAUCAGCUUGUUGGGAGGUAACGGCUCACCAAGGCUUCGACGGGUAGCUGGUCUGAGAGGACGAUCAGCCACACUGGCACUGCGACACGGGCCAGACUCCUACGGGAGGCAGCAGUAAGGAAUAUUGCGCAAUGGGCGAAAAGCCUGACGCAGCGACGCCGCGUGGGGGAUGAAGGUCUUCGGAUUGUAAACCUCUUUCAGCUCCGACGAAGCGAGAGUGACGGUAGGAGCAG
RNAcentral lists this ribosomal RNA (452 nucleotides) under uncultured bacterium. Its description in RNAcentral is "bacterial SSU rRNA". It matches the Rfam family "Bacterial small subunit ribosomal RNA", at positions 29 to 484 of the family's 1533-position model. The record is from RNAcentral.